Molecule: long non-coding RNA, 568 nt
Organism: Ictalurus punctatus (channel catfish)
Lineage: Eukaryota; Metazoa; Chordata; Actinopteri; Siluriformes; Ictaluridae
Source: Ensembl
AGGGAGUAGUGAAUAGUGAGUAGGGAGUAGUGAAUAGGGAGUAGUGAAUAGUGAGUAGGGAGUAGUGAAUAGGGAGUAGUGAAUAGGGAGUAGUGAGUAGGGAGUAGUGAGUAGUGAGUAGUGAAUAGGGAGUAGUGAGUAUGAAUAGAGUAGUGAGUAGGGAGUAGUGAAUAGGGAGUAGGGAGUAGUGAAUAGUGAGUAGGGAGUAGUGAAUAGUGAGUAGGGAGUAGUGAGUAGUGAAUAGGGAGUAGGGAGUAGUGAAUAGGGAGUAGUGAGUAUAGAGUAGUGAAUAGGGAGUAGUGAAUAGGAGUAGUGAUAGUGAGUAGGGAGUAGUGAGUAGGGAGUAGUGAGUAGGAUAGUGAGUAGUGAGUAGUGAAUAGAGAGUAGUGAGUAGGGAGUAGUGAAUAGAGAUUAGUGAGUAGGGAGUAGUGAAUAGUGAGUUGUGAAUAGGGAGUAGUGAAUAGUGAGUUGUGAAUAGGGAGUGGUGAGCAGUGAGUGAUUUAGGACACUGUGUGAGAUUGAUUGUGUCAGUGGUUUACAGUAACUGUGCUGCGAGCCGGAAACACAC